RNAcentral lists this unclassified non-coding RNA (265 nucleotides) under uncultured Nectriaceae. RNAcentral describes it as "sequence contains ITS2". The stretch from base 1 to 52 matches the Rfam family "5.8S ribosomal RNA", at positions 103 to 154 of the family's 154-position model. Lineage: Eukaryota; Fungi; Ascomycota; Sordariomycetes; Hypocreales; Nectriaceae. The record is from RNAcentral.
AACGCACAUUGCGCCCGCCAGUACUCUGGCGGGCAUGCCUGUCCGAGCGUCAUUUCAACCCUCGAGCCCAUCUGGGAUCGGUGUUGGGGAUCGGCGCCGCCCCCGGGUGGCCGCCGUCCCUCAAAUCUAGUGGCGGUCUUCGCUGCAGCCUCCUCUGCGUAGUAGAAACACCUCGCACCGGAGCGCAGCCUAGCCUCGCCGUAAAACAACCAACUUCAUUAUCAAGGUUGACCUCGGAUCAGGUAGGAAUACCCGCUGAACUUAA